GCGAGGGUGGCGGAAUUGGCAGACGCGCUGGACUUAGGAUCCAGUGGGAUUUCCCAUGGGGGUUCAACUCCCCCCCCUCGCA
RNAcentral lists this transfer RNA (82 nucleotides) under Candidatus Omnitrophota bacterium. RNAcentral's name for it is "tRNA-Leu". It matches the Rfam family "tRNA". From Rfam's summary of the family: Transfer RNA (tRNA) molecules are approximately 80 nucleotides in length. Their secondary structure includes four short double-helical elements and three loops (D, anti-codon, and T loops). Further hydrogen bonds mediate the characteristic L-shaped molecular structure. tRNAs have two regions of fundamental functional importance: the anti-codon, which is responsible for specific mRNA codon recognition, and the 3' end, to which the tRNAs corresponding amino acid is attached (by aminoacyl-tRNA synthetases). tRNAs cope with the degeneracy of the genetic code in two manners: having more than one tRNA (with a specific anti-codon) for a particular amino acid; and 'wobble' base-pairing, i.e. permitting non-standard base-pairing at the 3rd anti-codon position. Lineage: Bacteria; Pseudomonadati; Candidatus Omnitrophota. The record is from RNAcentral.